Molecule: ribosomal RNA, 253 nt
Filed under: uncultured bacterium
Lineage: Bacteria
Description: partial 16S ribosomal RNA
Rfam family: Bacterial small subunit ribosomal RNA
Source: RNAcentral
UACGUAGGGUGCGCGCGUUAAUCGGAAUUACUGGUCGUAAAUCUUGCGCAGGCGGCUUUGCAAGACAGAUGUGAAAUCCCCGGGCUCAACCUGGGAACUUCAUUUGUGACUGCAAGGCUAGAGUACGGCAGAGGGGGAUGGAAUUCCGCGUGUAGCAGUGAAAUGCGUAGAUAUGCGGAGGAACACCAAUGGCGAAGGCAAUCCCCUGGGCCUGUACUGACGCUCAUGCACGAAAGCGUGGGGAGCAAACAGG